Molecule: non-coding RNA, 68 nt
Filed under: Jannaschia aquimarina
Lineage: Bacteria; Pseudomonadati; Pseudomonadota; Alphaproteobacteria; Rhodobacterales; Roseobacteraceae
Description: Jannaschia sp. GSW-M26 Singlet oxygen resistance RNA X
Rfam family: Singlet oxygen resistance RNA X
About the family: SorX (RSs2461)like SorY is a singlet oxygen induced sRNA that counteracts oxidative stress by targeting mRNA for a transporter in Rhodobacter. It also has an impact on resistance against organic hydroperoxides.
Source: Rfam by way of RNAcentral
GGCAUUCGAGGGACGCUGUCCCUCACCUCCCUGUUGGACUCGGCCGGACCUCGCGUCCGGCCUUUUUU